GACAGAGGGGGCAAGCGUUGCUCGGAAUUACUGGGCGUAAAGGGCGCGUAGGCGGGAUGGCAAGUCGGUCGUGAAAUCCUUCGGCUCAACCGAAGAACGUCGAUCGAUACUGCUGUUCUUGAGGGUUGCAGAGGAGACUGGAAUUCCCGGUGUAGCGGUGAAAUGUGUAGAGAUCGGGAGGAACGCCGGUAGCGAAAGCGACACACUGGGUCUUGACUGACGCUGAGGCACGAAAGCCAGGGGAGCGAACGGG
This 253-nucleotide ribosomal RNA is filed under the name uncultured bacterium. Its description in RNAcentral is "partial 16S ribosomal RNA". It matches the Rfam family "Bacterial small subunit ribosomal RNA", at positions 524 to 776 of the family's 1533-position model. The record is from RNAcentral.